UUAAAUUGAAGAGUUUGAUCAUGGCUCAGAUUGAACGCUGGCGGCAGGCCUAACACAUGCAAGUCGAACGGUAACAGGAAGAAGCUUGCUU
Molecule: ribosomal RNA, 91 nt
Filed under: Escherichia coli
Lineage: Bacteria; Pseudomonadati; Pseudomonadota; Gammaproteobacteria; Enterobacterales; Enterobacteriaceae
Also listed under: 4 other names
Description: partial 16S ribosomal RNA
Rfam family: Bacterial small subunit ribosomal RNA
Source: RNAcentral